GAUGAACGCUAGCUACAGGCUUAACACAUGCAAGUCGAGGGGAAACGAUAGGGAAAGCUUGCUUUUUCUAGGCGUCGACCGGCGCACGGGUGAGUAACGCGUAUCCAACCUGCCCAUCACUUGGGGAUAACCUUGCGAAAGUAAGACUAAUACCCAAUGACGUCUCUAGAAGACAUCUGAAGGAGAUUAAAGAUUUAUCGGUGAUGGAUGGGGAUGCGUCUGAUUAGCUUGUUGGCGGGGUAACGGCCCACCAAGGCGACGAUCAGUAGGGGUUCUGAGAGGAGGGUCCCCCACAUUGGAACUGAGACACGGUCCAAACUCCUACGGGAGGCAGCAGUGAGGAAUAUUGGUCAGUGGACGAGAGUCUGAACCAGCCAAGUAGCGUGCAGGAAGACGGCCCUAUGGGUUGUAAACUGCUUUUAUAAGGGAAUAAAGUGAGUCUCGUGAGACUUUUUGCAUGUACCUUAUGAAUAAGGACCGGCUAAUUCCGUGCCAGCCGCCGCCGUAA
RNAcentral lists this ribosomal RNA (508 nucleotides) under uncultured bacterium. RNAcentral's name for it is "partial 16S ribosomal RNA". It matches the Rfam family "Bacterial small subunit ribosomal RNA", at positions 28 to 523 of the family's 1533-position model. The record is from RNAcentral.